Molecule: long non-coding RNA, 1411 nt
Filed under: Salmo salar (Atlantic salmon)
Lineage: Eukaryota; Metazoa; Chordata; Actinopteri; Salmoniformes; Salmonidae
Description: lncRNA (ENSSSAG00000111775.1)
Source: RNAcentral
UGACGAUCCUACUGAGAGGCGUGUAAGCUUGGAGCGCCUCCUUCAGGGCAAAAAUAAAGACAAGAUUAGCACAUUUGUUUGUUUAUUUGUGAAUAUAAUAUCAGCGUUUUUAUAAGUGGAAUGAAUGCCGAUACAUAUGUAUAUAAGGCCAAUAUUGGCCGAAAAUAUGGCUAAACUGAUUUAUUGUUUGGCCUCUAGUGGUCAUAGUGCUGUAGUGGGCUGGGAUUGGGAGAUCAUGAGGGACUCUCAGUGAGAAGAGGAGACUGGCGUAACCAUGGUUGCACUUGCAACCACUUAACACUGUCACUCACACUAUCAUCAACUCUGGUAUUCACAUCACACCGCAAUGCUAGAAAUGCAGUCUAGAGGGGGAAACAUCGAUUACAUGAGAGAGGGAGAGAGAGCCAACAAACCAAAAAGAAAGAUGGACAGCGAGAAAGCAACAGAAGCAGAAUACCUCUGUUAGUAAGAGACUGUGCUUGUAUUGUUCUCUGUAUCAAUGAUCUACAGAAGAGAGUUCUGACUCUCUACCGUGUGUCCUAAAUGGCACCAUAUUCCCCAUAGUGCACUACAUUUAAAAAGUAGUGCACUAGGGAAUAGGGUUCCAUUUGAGAUGCCUCCUAGGUUGUCCUCAAGGGAUUGGCUAUUGGCUGUGUGUGAUCAGUCAGUCAGACCAGGUAGGUAGGCUAGAGACUCGAGAGGUACGGAGGCUAGAGGCUAGGUGUGGUCAGUCAGUCAGACCAGGUAGAUAGGCUAGAGGCUAGAGAGGUACGGAGGCUAGAGGCUAGGUGAGGUCAGUCACUCAGACCAGGUAGAUUGGCUAGAGACUAGAGAGGUACGGAGGCUAGAGGCUAGGUGUGGUCAGUCAGUCAGACCAGGUAGAUAGGCUAGAGAGGUACAGGGAGGCUAGAAGCUGUGUGUGGUCAGUCAGACCAGGUAGGUCAGGCCUGGGCAAUUAUUUUCCAUGGAGGGCCACAUUAGAAUAUAUUUUUGCCAUUGCGGGCGAGAAUCAUACUACAGGAUUAUACAUCAUGUGUAUGACUGUGUUGACAGAUAUAUCUACUGUAAAUCACGUCCAGAUAUGCUACUUAUUUUACUUUUUUAACAUGCACAGAAAUAAACCACAUCCAUGUUCUCCUUUUGGGAGUCAUUAUUAAACAUGCAAUGAACUACACGGAGGGAAAGUGCACUGCACUUUCAGCACCAUGGACAGAACUCUUGUUAGCGGGUAUGCACAAAAACACAAGAGAGAGCUUAAAGUUACAUUUAAACUACUCAAUCAGUGUGAGGAGUGAAGUCUCUGAUUGGCAUUGACUAGAACAGUGAAGUCAGGUAUAGUUUCUGACGUCGCUAUGCGCAGGAUUGCUAAGAAGUGCGAGUCAGUAAGAGAUGAUUUGUGCCUUGACUUGUC